This 261-nucleotide long non-coding RNA is filed under the name Vicia faba (fava bean). Lineage: Eukaryota; Viridiplantae; Streptophyta; Magnoliopsida; Fabales; Fabaceae. The record is from RNAcentral.
AUGGCAGCAGAAAAUGAGGUGAUCGGUGUUCAUUCCGUUGAAUCAAGGAAGGAACUGAUCCAGAAGGGAACUGAAUCCAAAAAACUGAUUGUGGUGGACAUUGACGAAUUAAAGAGUGUUGCAGAGGAAUGGUCUGUCGAGGCUAUGCCAACCUUCUUAUUCUUGAAAGAAGGCAAGGAAGUGGAUAAGGUAGUUGGUGCUAAGAAGGAAGAGCUGCAGCUGGCAAUAACCAAGCAUGCAACAGCUGUUGCUACUGCUUAA